RNAcentral lists this ribosomal RNA (495 nucleotides) under uncultured bacterium. RNAcentral describes it as "partial 16S ribosomal RNA". It matches the Rfam family "Bacterial small subunit ribosomal RNA", at positions 28 to 507 of the family's 1533-position model. The record is from RNAcentral.
GACGAACGCUGGCGGCGUGCCUAAUACAUGCAAGUAGAACGCUGAAGGAGGAGCUUGCUUCUCUGGAUGAGUUGCGAACGGGUGAGUAACGCGUAGGUAACCUGCCUGGUAGCGGGGGAUAACUAUUGGAAACGAUAGCUAAUACCGCAUAAUAGUAGAUGUUGCAUGACAUUUGCUUAAAAGGUGCAAUUGCAUCACUACCAGAUGGACCUGCGUUGUAUUAGCUAGUUGGUGGGGUAACGGCUCACCAAGGCGACGACACAUAGCCGACCUGAGAGGGUGAGCGGCCACACUGGGACUGAGACACGGCCCAGACUCCUACGGGAGGCAGCAGUAGGGAAUCUUCGGCAAUGGACGGAAGUCUGACCGAGCAACGCCGCGUGAGUGAAGAAGGUUUUCGGAUCGUAAAGCUCUGUUGUAAGAGAAGAACGAGUGUGAGAGUGGAAAGUUCACACUGUGACGGUAUCUUACCAGAAAGGGACGGCUAACUACGUG